Molecule: ribosomal RNA, 433 nt
Filed under: uncultured bacterium
Lineage: Bacteria
Description: partial 16S ribosomal RNA
Rfam family: Bacterial small subunit ribosomal RNA
Source: RNAcentral
AACGAACGCUGGCGGCAUGCCUAACACAUGCAAGUCGAACGAUGCCUCCGGGCAUAGUGGCGCACGGGUGCGUAACGCGUGGGAAUCUGCCCUUGGGUUCGGAAUAACUCGCCGAAAGGCGAGCUAAUACCGGAUGAUGACGUAAGUCCAAAGAUUUAUCGCCCAAGGAUGAGCCCGCGUAGGAUUAGCUAGUUGGUGGGGUAAAGGCCCACCAAGGCGACGAUCCUUAGCUGGUCUGAGAGGAUGAUCAGCCACACUGGGACUGAGACACGGCCCAGACUCCUACGGGAGGCAGCAGUGGGGAAUAUUGGACAAUGGGCGAAAGCCUGAUCCAGCAAUGCCGCGUGAGUGAUGAAGGCCUUAGGGUUGUAAAGCUCUUUUACCCGGGAUGAUAAUGACAGUACCGGGAGAUUAAGCUCCGGCUAACUCCGUG